RNAcentral lists this ribosomal RNA (253 nucleotides) under uncultured bacterium. RNAcentral describes it as "partial 16S ribosomal RNA". It matches the Rfam family "Bacterial small subunit ribosomal RNA", at positions 524 to 776 of the family's 1533-position model. The record is from RNAcentral.
UACGGGGGGGGCAAGCGUUGUUCGGAAUUACUGGGCGUAAAGGGCUCGUAGGCGGCCAACUAAGUCAGACGUGAAAUCCCCAGGCUCAACUUGGGAACUGCGUCUGAUACUGGAUGGCUUGAAUUCGGGAGAGGGAUGCAGAAUUCCAGGUGUAGCGGUGAAAUGCGUAGAUAUCUGGAGGAAUACCGGUGGCGAAGGCGGCAUCCUGGACCGGCAUUGACGCUGAGGAGCGAAAGCUAGGGGAGCAAACGGG